RNAcentral lists this ribosomal RNA (735 nucleotides) under Entrophospora etunicata. Its description in RNAcentral is "eukaryotic LSU rRNA". It matches the Rfam family "Eukaryotic large subunit ribosomal RNA", at positions 58 to 644 of the family's 3401-position model. Lineage: Eukaryota; Fungi; Glomeromycota; Glomeromycetes; Entrophosporales; Entrophosporaceae. The record is from RNAcentral.
AAAGAAACUAACAAGGAUUCCCCUAGUAACGGCGAGUGAAGAGGGAAGAGCUCAAAUUUUAAAUCUGCCUUGUUCCAAGGUCGAGUUGUAAUUUGAAGAAGCGUUUUCUUGGGCUCGCGGCCGGUAGAAGUUCUUUGGAACAGGACAUCAUAGAGGGUGACAAUCCCGUCCGUGACCGGUCGUGCGUUCAUCUACGAUACGCUUUCAAAGAGUCGAGUUGUUUGGGAUUGCAGCUCCAAACGGGUGGUAAACAUCACCUAAGGCUAAAUAUUGGCGAGAGACCGAUAGCGAACAAGUACCGUGAGGGAAAGAUGAAAAGAACUUUGAAAAGAGAGUUAAACAGUACGUGAAAUUGUUGAAAGGGAAACGAUUGAAGUCAGUCGUGCUGGCGCGAAAUCAACCCUCUCGUCUUGAGAUCACAUGGCGCGACGAGCCUCAAAACCGUCACGAAGCGUGAACUCUUGACGAAAAGGUGCACUUUCGUGUCCGCUGGUUAACAUCAAUUUCGAACGUCAUAAAAAGGCUGGAGGGAUGUGGCUCCUUCGGGAGUGUUAUAACCUUUAGCGGAAUGUGGCGUUCGGGAUUGAGGAUUGCAACGAAUACCUUCAGGGCUGUUCCACCUGGCUUCUCAUUGGUAUCCUGGUGACGACAGCUUGCUGACGUCGUUAGGAUCAGCUUCUGAACAGGCUAGAGUGUGAGCAAAUUCGUUAAGGAUGUUAACGUAAUGGCUUAAAC